RNAcentral lists this ribosomal RNA (253 nucleotides) under uncultured bacterium. RNAcentral's name for it is "partial 16S ribosomal RNA". It matches the Rfam family "Bacterial small subunit ribosomal RNA", at positions 524 to 776 of the family's 1533-position model. The record is from RNAcentral.
UACGUAGGCAGCGAGCGUUGUUCGGAAUUACUGGGCGUAAAGCGCACGUAGGCGGCUUCUUAAGUCUGAGGUGAAAUCCUGGAGCUCAACUCCAGAACUGCCUUCGAUACUGGGAAGCUCGAGUCCGGGAGAGGUGAGUGGAACUGCGAGUGUAGAGGUGAAAUUCGUAGAUAUUCGCAAGAACACCAGUGGCGAAGGCGGCUCACUGGCCCGGUACUGACGCUGAGGUGCGAAAGCGUGGGGAGCAAACAGG